GACGAACGCUGGCGGCGUGCUUAACACAUGCAAGUCGAACGGAAAGGCCCUGCUUUUGUGGGGUGCUCGAGUGGCGAACGGGUGAGUAACACGUGAGUAACCUGCCCUUGACUUUGGGAUAACUUCAGGAAACUGGGGCUAAUACCGGAUAGGAGCUCCUGCUGCAUGGUGGGGGUUGGAAAGUUUCGGCGGUUGGGGAUGGACUCGCGGCUUAUCAGCUUGUUGGUGGGGUAGUGGCUUACCAAGGCUUUGACGGGUAGCCGGCCUGAGAGGGUGACCGGCCACAUUGGGACUGAGAUACGGCCCAGACUCCUACGGGGGGCAGCAGUGAGGAAUAUUGCACAAUGGGCGGAAGCCUGAUGCAGCAACGCCGCGUGCGGGAUGACGGCCUUCGGGUUGUAAACCGCUUUCGCCUGUGACGAAGCGUGAGUGACGGUAAUGGGUAAAGAAGCACCGGCUAACUACGUG
Molecule: ribosomal RNA, 468 nt
Filed under: uncultured bacterium
Lineage: Bacteria
Description: partial 16S ribosomal RNA
Rfam family: Bacterial small subunit ribosomal RNA
Source: RNAcentral